GCAAUAAUGGUGAACCGGAUAUCAUGUGAUAGCGACUCAGAUAAGUCAUUGAUGCAGCAAAUCACGUCAGACACUGUAAUUGAGGUAAGCAUUGAUCUUCCUUUUGCAUUCCAAGCAAUACCAAAAGCAAGCAAUGGAAUCAGCUGGGACUCAAGUCCUUGAUCAAAUACUCAAGAUUAUGCUUCCCCGUUUUAUGUCACAGCUUGUGAAAGAUUAUGAAGCCUGGGCCUCUGGAGAUACGUCAAGGCAGCCUCUUGGGACUGGUGAAAUCUGAAAUUAAGGGUUAAAGCGGUUGCAACUGAAGCUGGCCUUAAUUUGUAUUGUUAAUAGGCUUUAGAAACACUAAUGAUAGUAUACUAUGUGCAAUUAGUGAAUGUUCUUGGUUUGUUAUGUAAGUAUACGUAGUUUCUCUGAAUUAUAUCAGGAAAAAAUGGAGAUUUGGGGUCUGGGGGUAGUAAAAUCAAGAAAACUAUUUUAGUCUGGUAUUCCAAGAAAGCUAUAUCACAUGAAACAUCAUAUAUGUCACUUAUCUAUUUUAUUCUUA
Molecule: long non-coding RNA, 544 nt
Organism: Lotus japonicus
Lineage: Eukaryota; Viridiplantae; Streptophyta; Magnoliopsida; Fabales; Fabaceae
Exons: 3
Source: RefSeq, a predicted model, not a curated record